AUACGGAGGGUGCAAGCGUUGUCCGGAUUUAUUGGGUUUAAAGGGUGCGUAGGUGGUUUUUUAAGUCAGUGGUGAAAGCCUACAACUUAACUGUAGAGGUGCCAUUGAUACUGGGGAACUUGAGUAUGGACGAGGUAGGCGGAAUUUGUGGUGUAGCGGUGAAAUGCAUAGAUACCACAAGGAACACCGAUAGCGAAGGCAGCUUACUGGGCCAUAACUGACACUGAGGCACGAAGGCGUGGGGAGCGAACAGGAUUAGAAACCCGAGUAGUCC
RNAcentral lists this ribosomal RNA (274 nucleotides) under uncultured bacterium. RNAcentral's name for it is "partial 16S ribosomal RNA". It matches the Rfam family "Bacterial small subunit ribosomal RNA", at positions 523 to 796 of the family's 1533-position model. The record is from RNAcentral.